Molecule: long non-coding RNA, 14430 nt
Filed under: Citrus sinensis (sweet orange)
Lineage: Eukaryota; Viridiplantae; Streptophyta; Magnoliopsida; Sapindales; Rutaceae
Description: long non-coding RNA (CSIN_LNC003249)
Source: RNAcentral
CUGCAAGUACGUACAUAUGUUAAUUUAUCGAUCAGUUAAUUUGUCAUUAAAAUUCGAGACCGCGACCUGAUUAUAUAUAACAUGAGCAAUUAAUAAUAUAAAAAUUAAUGUAUUAAAUAAACAAGAUAUCCAACGUACCAUGCAUUGAGAUUUGAUCUCAUCUAUGGAUAACAAUGGAACCCCAUUUUCAUCAUUUGCUGAAAUAAGAACAUCUAGCAAGUCCUGGUCCUUGUGAGCUUCCUUUUUGUUGUCAUGAUGACGUCUCCGUUGGUGUACUCUCUCAUCUAUAAUGGAAUCGUGAUACUUGUUGGCAGUUUUCAUGGCCGCACUUACUUUCUCAUUUUCUUCCAUUGUUGACCCCAUGGCACGACUGCCACUGACAGGAAUCCACGGCUAGAGUACUCUGUCCCCAUUGUGAGCGGCCUCGUUGCAAAAAUUGAGUCGUUAUCUUUUAGAACUUCCAAGGCAAUUUCUGGGGAAGUCACUGGAAUCACAUGAACAUUUCCAAGCCGGAUGCAAGAAAUGUUGGUUUUAAGUUCUUUCAUCACACUGUGUAUCCAUUUGAAGGCCGGCUUAUUCCUCCAAAUCUCUGGAAGGUUUCCGACUAUUGGCCACGCAGCCGGGCCUGGGGGCAGAGGUGGUUGCUUCAUUCUUUUCUGGUCCGUACUCUGCUGGACAAAUUCAUUCAUUUUCAAUCAAAUUAGUUUAUAUGUUGAAUAAAAAUAUACAAUUAUUGUUCCUAAUAAAUAAGUAAGGGAAAUCGAAAAAUAAAUAUAGUAUACCUUGAACAGUUGAUUCUGAACGAAUGAAUACAUGUCCAUCACAUACUUCCGAAUAGUUUCGGAUUUCAGCUGAAAGCUUAUUAGUGUAACAACGGCAACAAGUAGUGUCACCCGAACAAUAUAUGUGGAUUCAAAAAUGGGAUUAUCUUCAAGAUAAGAAAGGAAAUCCAUAAUAUUAAUGAAGGCACUUUUUGGAUUCAAGAGUAAAGCCAAACGAUUUGUGGCUAUCAAAACAAAAAAGCAAUUAAUAUUAUUCUUGAUGGAUAUUGAUUGAAUGAAGAGGGGGUUCUCCAUUCGUCAUUAUAUAUAGAAGGGUGGUACGGGGUUGUCAAGUUCAACGAAACUCAUGAACAACGUUUUCGACAUGCAACUUGACGCAUAAUUCGUCUGUAUCCAUAUUAAGAAUUAAAAUUAGUCAUGUGGCGAUUUGUCUUCGGUCAUCACUGACCAACAGUCUAUUACAAAACUUAUUUUAAUUCCUUGAUGAAGUUCUCAUGACUUCUAGUGAAAGGAAUAUAUUCCACAGAUAGUUAAUUAAUUAGAGGGGAGAUUCAAUAUUGGCAACAAGAAAAGAAAAAUUCAAAUUAUCAUUUUAUUAAGAUUAUCAUUAUUCUGGUUCUAUUCUCACAGUUUAUUAUAUCUUGCUUUCUUUUAUCAAUUUUUUUUUUAUGUAGUCAUGCUUCAUUCCUUCAAGGUGGUUUCACAUCUUCAAUAUUGGCUGUGAUGGGCGGAUUGAUUGUUAUCUUGGUUGAUAGAAUAAUCGAUGGAUUGUGCGACGAUGGUGGGUGGACAGUGGAGGAGUGAUCUCUAAGAAAAAAGAAAGAAAAGCAUAGUUUAUGCAUUCGAUAGAUUUUACGCUGUGACUAUAUAUAUAAUGGCUAUUAUAGCCAUAAAUCUUCUUUUUCUCUUUUUUUUAAGGGAAUAAUUUGAAGAAUAGAUAAAUAUCUUUUUUUUUUUUGGUACAAUAAGUAGCCCAAACAAAGCUAAGCAAGAUAAAUAUGUUUUAGGGUUAUUUUAGGGACCUCCCCUGAAGUUUAGUGUAUUUACAGUCGGAUAGAAAGUAUCCACGUAAUUACAAGCACCUUCCCUACCGUUAGUAUCCAAUUAGUUUGACUGUUAGUAGACCGUUAAAAUUACAAAAGUACUAUUCCCCUCAAAAUAAUAAGUUUUUUUUUUCAGACUGGUUCUCCAUUUUCAUUGAAAUUUUCUCUCACUUCCUCUCACUUUUUCUUGACCUCCAAACAAAAACAUUUUUUAAUUAUUCAUCAGUAAACAAUAGGAUAACAAGAUGCAGCAAAGCAAGCAAAACUUUAAAACUACAUCAAAUACAAAAAGAUCCACACAGCCCCAUCCAUAACCUUAUUCAAAUCCCAAAUGGUCUGCAAUCAACUGAAACUAAUCUGUUUCUUUCCUCCAACUUUCCCACCACCCAAACACACACUCCUACGAAAUUUAAACCACAUCCUAGUACAGAUCAAUCUCAGUUACAAUUACACAAGUACCGGCUUGCUUCAAAGUAGCAACACAACCAUUGCCAACAUCACCAUAACCGCAAACAACAACAACAUUUCCGGCAAUCAUAACAUCAGUAGCUCUCAUCAAACCAUCGAUGGAAAACAAAACAAUAAAAUGGAUCAUCAACCACGUCAAAAAAUGAAGAUGAUUAAAAUAAUGAUCUAUCGAUCAUGUCGAACGGCAACCAUUGAUGAUGACGUGGGGAAGUAAUUGUGGUACCUACUGCCGUAUAACACAGUGGAUCGACGCCGUUGGAGCAUGCCGUAGUAUCAGAGAGCCGACGUCAGAACUAAAAUUAGGUUGACGAAUAAGCAUGCAAAUUGUCGAAACACGUACGCGCUCUUUUUGAAAACUACGCUCAUCGUUACCGAUACCGUGUCUUCGAACCUAAUCAUGUCCUCAUUUUCAAUCUUUUCUUUGAGAUCAUGUGCCACUCACUUUGUGCUAGUGUGACAAUGAAUUUGAGAUCUGAAGCAAAUCAAAGUAAAUUACCUUGCUAUUGGUGACAGAGUCAUUGACAUUGAUGGCAUGGAACAAGAGGGUUCCAUUUUCUUGCAUCUGGUACAACCAAUCUGAAACUCGGCGUUGUCAGUGGAGGCCGGGUCGGGUAGCUUCCGAGUCUUCUCGUAGAUCUCCUCAACUUUGACUCUCUCGUGGAUCAACAACAUGGCGUACCACCGUCGUCAAUGAUGAGAUCUGGGCCGCCGCCGGGACCCUAGUCUAGAGCUUUCUCCGUGCACCACCAAUACUCCUAGAGGGUCUCGCCCUUCCAAGCGAAGACGGAGGCAAAGUUACGUACAAUGGCGGCUGCCACGUGGUCUUGGGUUGAGAAGAUAUUGCAGGACCACCAGCGGACUUUGGUGUCGAGAGCGGUGAGGGUUCCGAUGAUGUUGGCUCCUUUGAAGGGCUAUGAAAGGGCCGAAUCAACAAAAUCAUCGCACUUUUGAUUUUUUUAUUUUAAAUAUAUUUUUACACAUUUACCCUUACAUACUGAUGCCAUACGUAUUUGAAUACUAACGUCAGGGGAGAUCCCUGUAAUUAAAUGCAUACUUUCUAUCUGACUGUAAAUACACUAAACCUUAGGGGAGGUCCCUUAAAAUAACCCAUAUAUUUUAUUGUGAUACUUUUUGCCAGAUUUAAAAGAUAAAAAGGAAAGCUAAAAAUUUGACCAAACAUUAUAUUGGUAUCUUAAUUAAUUUCUUGUCGAUAUCCUAGAACCACUAACGCACUUCCACAUCUUCACUCUUUCGGCGCAAAAUAUUAUUCAGCCCCCUAUACUCUAUAUUAUUUACAAUUAUUUAUAAGUAUUAUAAAACUUUCUGUCUAGUAAAAUUUUGUUGAACCCCUUGUACUCUGUUUUAUUUUAAUCAAACUCUUGGAGUACCAAUUUACCCUCUAUACUUUUAAAUUCCCAAAAUACCCUACAUUUAAUUAAAAAAUAUAAUAAUUAUUAAAUAAAUUAUAAUUAUAAUUAUAAUAAUUGUUUAUUAUAAUUAUAUUUUUUAAAUGGAUUAUUAUUAUUAAUAUUAUUAUUAUUAACAAGAAUAAAAAGUAUUAUAAUAAAUUAAUCUAUUAAUUUUUUAGUUAAAAUAUUAAUAAUAAUAAUUAACAAUAAUUACUAUUAAUAAUUAAUUUUUGAAUAAUAAUAACAAUAACAAUAAUUAAAAUACAAAAUAAUAAUUAUGAUAAAAAUUAAUGAAGGAUUUUAUACUAAUUUGUUACAAUUUAAUUUAUUCUGAUUUUUAUUCUAAGACAAAGUAAACACAUAAAUGGUAAUACAACUCAUUCUAAUUAUGAUUCCUGCCGUUCAAGUAAAUAAAUUAUUCUAAUUCCAAUUUCUCAUUUGAAUUCUAGAUAUUUCGAUUUUAGCUUAUUAUGUUUUCAGUUAAUUUUUAUUCAUGUUUAGUGAAUGCACUAUAAAAUUCAUAAUACUUAUAAAAAAACUGUAAAUAAUAUAGAGUGGUCUAAUUGAAUAUAAAUUGAUUUACAAUUUUAUAGUGCAUUCAUUAAAAAUGAAUCGAAAUUAGCUGGAAACAUAAUGAGUUAGAAUUGGAAUAACUAUAAUUAAAAUAAAGAAUUGGAAUUAAAACAAUUUAUUUACUUGAACUGCAUGAAUCGUAAUUAGAAUAAACGGAUGUACGGUACAGCAGACCUGGAGAUUAAGGAAAAACCUAGGCAAACAAAAGUCAAGACAAGAAGAGCAUUCCGAGUCAUGAGAGAGCCAAUUAUUAUUAUUGGCAUUUUAACUAAAAAUUAUUAUUAAUUAUUGUUAAUAGAUUAAGAAAUUUAAAAUUAUAGGGGGUGAAUUAGUACUCUAAUAAAGGUUUCAAUAAAAUAAAACAGAGUAUAAGAGGCUCAAAGACAUUUUACAAGACAAAAAAUUUUAUAAUUCUUAUGAAUAAAUUGUAAAUAAUAUAGAGCAUAUGGGGCUAAUUGAUAUUUUGGGGGUCAGCCGUAAGUUACGCUGAAUGUAACUUAGGCGGACCCCACUCUUAAGGGCUUUUGGUGGAUUCGAGCCAACGACAAGUCAGAUGAUGGUUGGUAGAAGGGAGUUGACUGAAAAUUGUGGGAAAAGACUUAGUGAUGCGACAUUUGGAGUGACCAAUUAAUUGUGAAUUUGAACUGGUCAUCCUUUUUUGCACCUUGUCGCCGUUGUACAACUUGUACUUGCCUGAGGUGAUUAAUUGCUUCAAGCUACAUGAAAACGAUGCGCUUUGCAACAAGAAGCCUUUUUUUUUUUUUUUUUUUUUUUUUUUUUUUUUUUAAAAAAUUUUUUUUUUUUUUUUUUUUUUUUUUUUUUUUUUUUUUUUUUUUUUUUUUUUUUUUUUUUUUUUUUUUUUUUUUUUUUUUUUUUUUUUUUUUUUUUUUUUUUUUUUUUUUUUUUUUUUUUUUUUUUUUUUUUUUUUUUUUUUUUUUUUUUUUUUUUUUUUUUUUUUUUUUUUUUUUUUUUUUUUUUUUUUUUUUUUUUUUUUUUUUUUUUUUUUUUUUUUUUUUUUUUUUUUUUUUUUUUUUUUUUUUUUUUUUUUUUUUUUUUUUUUUUUUUUUUUUAAAAAAAACUUCAAACUUAGUCUCUGAAAAUUGCAAGCUAGUCAAGGUAUAUUUAAUUAUCUGAAAAUUGCAAGUUAGUCAAGGUAUAGUUAAUUGUAUGGCAUAAAAUAAAUCGUCAUGACAAAGGUUUUAGCCACCGAAAUUGUAUUCGUCGUUUAAAAUAAUAUAUUUUUGCCUAAAGUCUAUAUUAUAGUGCUUGGUUGAGGGAAUCGACGGCCGGCCACUGCAACGGUGGUUGGCUGCAUUUGUUUUGUAUAGGGCUAAUUUUGUACUAAGUGAAAGGGUAAAAAAAUGAUAUGGGCAAGGGAUUGGUUGAAUAUGCUGAGCAAUAUCCAUUAGACACAUGGUACAGAUUUCAACUAGUCAAGAACUAAUAAUUUAGUAAGAACUAGUGGCAUUAAAUAGUAAUUAUUCGGUGAAGUUGAGACUCUUAUAACAUUUCGCUUUCUAAGUUGUCGGCUUGAAUCUUGAUGCAAUUAAAAACAAUGAAUCUCUGAACUCUUGGUUAUGGAAAAACUUCUUGCUGUUUCUCUUUCCCGAAAUAAUUAAUGAUUACAAUGUGAUUUAUACAUAAGAAAAGGAUCAACAUGUCGAAGUAAAGCAAAUAUAUACAAUAUAUUAUACUUGAAAUAAUUGUGUAGAAUUGAUAGAAGUGAAAACUUUAUUAAGAAAAAUCAAACCCGUCACUUGCGUUAAGAAAAUUGACGUGGGCAUGCAUGAGAGCUGAAUUGGUUAAUUUAGAGUAAUGAUAGUGAGAAGGAGCUCACUCCAACCCCAGCAAUCCCAUAUGAAAGAGUAAACAGAAGUUAAAAUAAUAAUAAAAUUACUCUAACUUUUGAAUUGAUGGCAAAAUUUUGCACAAUAAAAUCGCUUUGGUGGGAUUGAGGUGAGUCUCGCUAAUUGAUGGGUUGAAUAUAAUUUUUCAUUGUUUAAUGUACAGAUCAGAAAGAUCACAUUUAGUCAUGGCAUAGAUCUUGUUAACUCAAUUGUAUUCAAGCACAUAUUAUUUGACCACAAGAACACGUGGAGUUGAUUAUUCACUUAAUAUUGAGUCCUUCGUAGACAUUUAUUUCCUAGUUGUCAGCUUGAUAAAAUUGAAAGCAGUGUAAUUACCAAGAACGUAAUUUUUUUUAACUUUUUGAAGGAAUUAUAUUGACUUCUUCGAUCUAAUUUGACUGGAAACUAUGCAAGUUAUCAAGUAAUUUACUAUGAAAAAUUUAGAAUAAUUAUUUGGGAAGACUAUAAUGUAUUAAUUAUAUCAUCUAUGGGAAGGAAUUAUAUUUACUUCUUCGGUCUAAUUUGACUGGAAACUAUGCAAGUUAUCAAGUAAUUUACUAUGAAAAAUUUAGAAUAAUUAUCUGGGAAGACUAUAAUGUAUUAAUUAUAUCAUAUAUGGGAAGGCCAGUUCAGACGAGUCGUUGAAACAUGCAGCACCAAUUUUUUUUUUAAUAUGUGUUACACAAUAGGAAAAUCUCAAUAAAUUGAUCAUUUUGAGUAAACUAAGUUUGGUAGUUCCGAGUUCAGACAAAUGGGCCAAAUAAAAUUUUACUAAAUUUAUAAGAUUAUGUACUAUAGAAAAAUAUUUGUAGUUUCAUAUAAGACAACUUACUUUUGGCCUGUUUAAUUCUUAUAAGUUUGAGAUAAUGUUCAAUUUAUAAGCUGAAUUUUGAGUGUGAAUUAGACACAAGCUUCUAUGUGCUAUCGAUACCAAACUCAUCCACAAGUUGAAUCACGCUACCUUUUCAUAUGACAAGGAUUAUGUAGAAAUGCCAACUUGCACGUGACAGAGGGUGUUAAGAGAAAAAUCUCAUAUUAGUUGUAAUGAAUCGUUAGAUAUUUAUAUAAUCCUUUUCAUAUGAUAAGGAUUAUGCCAUGGACUUCUAUAUAGUAUCAUAACCAAAAUCUUGUAAGAGUGGACUCACACUAUUUUACUAGAUGAGAGGGACUAAUAAAAAUGACCACCCUGCAUGUAGUUAGGGAUGAUAGGAAAAUCAUCCAAUGUCAAUUGAGAAAAAGAACUAUAUUUUGAGUAUGAGUUAGGCUUAUGAUAUCAUAGAAAAAUUCAUCCACGUAUGGGCCAUGACAUCUCUAUUUCUCACUGCCAAGAAGCACAUACCUUAAAUUAUUUCAUAGUUUUUUUUUGUGGUUUCAAUUUCAUGCUCCAGUUUUUGCUGUACCAGUUAAUUUAUUUCGUUAUAAGCCAUAAAGGUAUUCCUAUGGUACAUUGAACAACAAUUCUUCAUAACAAUCAGUUUAUGGGGAAGUUUAUAUGUACACAAAAUCCUUGAGUGAAAUAGAGGUUACAACAAACUCAAUUGAAAAUAAAUCUAUCAUAGAAACAAAAAGGAGUUAAUGUGUUAUCCAAUUUCAAGAAUCCUUGGGGUGAACCUGUUGGUGUGCGUUCUAUAGCAACAUUAACCAAAAUAUUGAUGUGCGUGAAUAAGACCAACAGUCUAGUUAAAUGGCACAGGGUAGUAACUUUAAUCGUUCAAAACAUUAGUAGCAAAAAUAUUGCAAAAAAAAAAAAGAGUGAAAGACAGAACAAGCAAUAUAAUAUAGAAAUAAAUAAUGAAAAUAGCAAAUGCAAGUGCCAAAAUAUUUAGCUAUAUGUCUAAAAAUAUUUUACAAAAUAUAUCUAAGAACAAGUGAGAUUACUCCGGAUCCAAAUUAGAGUAAAACUAAGAUGUGAUCACAUAAAAAAUUACACAACAAGCCAUACGAAACUCCGAAAAGGUUGCUGAUCUAAUGAAAAAAAUGUAAUAAUAAGCACACAUGAUCACUAAUAACAUCAUAUGUCAGAAAACUUGAACACACCCAAAAAAAGGUUAUAAAAUCUAAUGGUUUAAAAUAUAGCAAAAACAAGAAAAGAUAGAGAUUUAUAUCUAAAAUCAAAUCUCUCGUUGAGUCCACUCUUUUCGAUCUAUAAAUGCAAGUCAAAAGGAUUAAGAAGAGACUUUUAGCUAUUUUUUCACUCAUAACAGAGAAAACCAUAUCCAAAUUUACUAGAAUUCACUAAACACAAAACUAACAAGAACAUUGGAAUGCCUUCGCAAGUACACGCUCAAGUUAUGAUAAUCUGCGGAGAAAAUGUUGAAGACGAGAAGGAAUCUCACGCAUUCAGAAGAAUCAGGUUUAAUUCAAACAGUUACUUCUUUUAUAUUAUCCGGUCUAUUGAAGGAUGUAGAACUUAAGGUGCUAUAAACAAAUCAAGCAACCUUAGAUCCUACCCAAGAUCACCAACCAAAUUUAUCAAGAUGCUUCAAGAUUGAUAACUGAAGAACUUGACUAAGAUUAAUCAAUGGAAUGUGACAAUUAACCGACUAGAAUUAAGAAAACAAAAGAUAUAGAAUGGACAAAAAACAAGAGAGAUUUAACGUGGUUCAGCUAGAUCUCUCUAGCUUACAUCCACGGGAGGGCAAAUAUGACCAGCUUUGAUUGAUUCUCAAGAUGAUUUACAGAGUAAUGCUAUGAGCCUUUACACAAGAUCGAGACUGCUUAUUUAUUCCAGCCCUUUCUCUCUCUACAACUCUCUAUCCUUUUGAAUCUGUUGCACCAGAAUCAGCUGCUUCAUAACAGCUUCAUAACAAACCCAGAACUUCCCCAGCAACUCACGUGAGUUCCUAAUGCUUUAACGACAUUUAACGAACCUUGUGAGCUGGAUACAAGCACGUGAUGUUCGCAUGCUUCACUUAAGGGUAAAUGGCAAGCUUGUAUAUAGGGGUGGGCGCGGUUUGGUUCCGUUCGGUUUUUUACUAAAUUUUUCAUAAUCGUUCGAUUACGAUUAUUUUAAAAUCAUAAUCGCGAUUAAUCAAAUUAUCGAAAUAAUCAAAUAUUCGAUUAAUUGAAAUAAUUCGAUUCGAUUCGGUUCAAUUAUUUCGAUUAUGGGCUUAUUUUGGGCUUUUUUAAAUUUAAAACCUUAAAUUAAUAAAUCUACCACAAACAUAAAAAGUUAACAAACAAAAAAUCAAAAUAUGUCUCAAAGUAUAUUCAAGAACACAUAACAUGUUCAAAUACCAAGUUCAAAUCAAAAUAAAUAAGCAAAAAGUCUUUUAAACUUUAACAAAACUACAAAAGCAAUAAACAUCAAUCAACUCCCAAAUCCCAAUUACUCCUCUCAGUUGCUUGUUCUUGUUGAGCUACUAUUGGCCUACCAAAUUCUACAUUAACAAAUUAAACAAAAAUAUUAGACCGAUUAGUUAAGAGUGAAAUAACCAAAACAAUAUAUCAAAAUAUAGUAGUAACAUAUUACCUGCUUCAAUGACUUCAUAGAAUUCAGUUUCCUCCUAAGUAGGUUGUAUUAUCUGUUCUACUAAUAGAGUUUAGCGAAGCCAAUUUUAAGUGCAAAUCAAUGACUCAACAGUUUUAUGAGUUAAAGAACUUCUAAAAGGAUCAAGAACACGCCCUCUUGUGCUAAAUGCCAAUUCCGAAGCUACAGUAAACAUUGGAAUUGCCAAAACAUCCUUGGCAAUCUGAGACAAAAUUGGAUACCUAUGCCCAUUCAACUUCCACCAAGUCAAAAUAUCAAAAUGGGCAUUACUAGUACUCUCAUUAGCAUCCGUCAAGUACUUUUCAACACCAUUUUUUGAACUAAUGUCAUCAUUUGAACUUUGCUUCAUCUUUUGAAAGAUGAAAAAAGAUCAAUUGACAUUAUACUACUACUAGCACCACCACCACCACCACCACCACCACUACUACCAUCAUGGAUAUCACCAAAACAAACACCACCACUAUUCCUCACAUCACUCCCACCAAUAUAGCUAUUAUAUAGCUUCAUCAACAACUCUUUAAUGUUAGAUUUCAAUUCUUCAACCUUCCUAAAUUCAUACAUGCUACUAAAACAAACUCCAAUUUACAUAUAGGAUCAAGCACAAUUGCUACAAAUAAUAACAUGUUAACCUAAUCAAAAGAAUCACCCCAAUAUUUAGCAAACUUUUGUUCCAUUUUUUUGGCCAUUUUCCUCAACAAAUCAUCACUAGAAGUAGCAAGUGACUUCAAAUGAAUUAGAACUUUUGCCAUUUCAUUUAAGUAAUCAUUGGAAGUGACAUCAAGAGAGCUACUAAAUUUCAAGGUCAUAUAAUAAAAAACCGAUAAAAAGUUGACUAACCUCCUUGCAUUUCCCCAAUUGUCAUCGCUCGGUGGCCCCUCCCUCUUUUUUUCACCCUCAUCCUCAACAAACCAAUUAACAUAAUGUUGAUCAUCUUCCUUCAUCCUAUCAAAUGUUUUUUCAAACACAGCCGUUUUGUGCAACAUCAAAUAUGUUGAAUUCCAUCUAGUAGGCACAUUCAACACCAUAAGCCCUCCAUAUGAGAUUUUCUCCCUACCAACACAUGUUUUAAACUUUUGCAAUCUUGCUGGAGAGGAUCUAACAGACUUUAUUGCAUUGCGAAUACUAGCUAUUGAAUGAUUCACCUCCGCCAACUCAUCUUGCACAAUCAAAUUUAUUAUGUGUGCCGAACACCUCACAUGCAUAUAUAAACCAUUCAAAACCAUUGAAUUCACACUCCAAUUUGCUAACUUCUUCUUCACAUAAAUUAUUGCAAUUUUAUUGGCACUUGCAUUGUCCACUGUAAUUGUGAACGACCUCUAAAUCCUCCAAUCAAUCAAACAUGUCUCAAUUAGCUUCCCAAUACCAUCUCCUUUAUUAUUAGCUAUAGGUGUGAAACUAAGAAUCCUUUUGUGCAACACCCACUCCGCAUCAAUAAAAUGAGCAGUAAUGACCAUGUAGUUAGACAGUUGAAUUGAUGUCCAUGUAUCUGUGGUAAUACACACCCUUUGCUUGCUUGCACCCAAAACACUUUUUAACAACCCUUUUUCAUACUGAUACAAUUCAAGAAUAUCCCUUGUAAUUGUUCUUCGCGAUGGCACAUCAAAUCUUAGGCAACAAGUUUGCAUAAACUCUAAAAACCCUUCAGCCUCCACAAAGCUAAAAGGUAAUUCAUCCUUGACAAUCAUCUUCACAAGUGCCAUUUUACAAGCCUCUUGACUAAACCCGCCACUAACUUUAACAACUCCAUCAUCUUUAUCUUUUCCCUUUUGACGGAAAAGUAUUUGUUGCUUCAGAUCCCCUUCAACCUUCACAUCUUGAUAUGACCUACAUUUAUCCAAAUGAUUCUUCAAAUUAGUGGUAUUUCCUCUAUUAGCUGCAAAGGUUUUACGGCAAUGAUGACAUUUUCCUUUGUUUCCACAAGGUAGUUUGGUAAAAUGAGCCCAAACAUUUAAUCUCAAAGGCAUUUUUCUUUUUUUUCCCAUCAUCAACCUCCACCUCUUGCACUUCCUCCUCAUCAUAAUUUUCCAUUCUACACAAACACAAAAUCAUUCAUGCAAAAUUGUGGCAAAUCAAAAAUCAGCAGCAACAAAUCAACACAACAGCAACAACAAAUAAAAAAUCUUGGGGAUUAUAAAAUAAAAAAUAUUAUGACAUUGCGGCACAACUCAAAUUUGUGAUCGUUUAUAUUAAUAUGUCUAUCCUAUUAAUAUUAAGGAGAUAUAUCUAUUCAUAAUUUAUUAAGAGAGUAGUAACUUUAGCAAUUUAUACUACAUGAUUCAUGAAUUAACUUUUAUAUACUCUACAUGAUUCAUGAAUUAACUUUAGCAAUUUGUUCAAACAGAAAAAUAGUAUUAAAGUUCUAUAAUAAAAUCACCUUUUCACCCAUUCGAACACUAUAGUUCUGAAUUCUCAUGUCACCACAAGAUAGUUUAACAUGUGAACAUGAGAAAUAGCUUUCUAUAUUUUUUUUUCUUAAAAUCUGAAAAUAUUAGAUGGGUCCAGUGACAUAUAAAGCUAUAAACAUUUAUCCCAAAAAAAAAAAUUUCAAAAUCACUUCAAUCACAUGAAUUAUGCAAGCAAACAAUAAAAUGGAUUGGAUGAAGGUUUUUGGAAAUUGGUUGAACCCUCUGUAGAAUACAAGCAUGAGUAGCUUUAUCAGACCUUUCAUAUUUCUCAACACCUUGGUCUUUUUUUUUUUUUUUUUGCCUGUUGGAAAAGUUCAACAUCUUCAUUGAAGAAAGUGCUCUUACCUUGUGCAUAAAUCAAUCAUAAUCAAUCAAUCAUAAUAACAAUAGCAGCAAUAAUAACAAUAACAAUAAACAACAGCAAGAAGAAAAUGCUUUGCACCUACACAAAUUCACUUUGUCAAGAAAGUGGAGGUGGAGUGCUAAUAAUCUAAUUGUUAGCUUUAGCAAUUAAUUAAUUAUUUCCACCAACAUUAAUAUAACUAUUGGCUCACAGAGCAGAUCAAGUGACCGCAUGUCUCUAUGCACUUGUCCUAAACUCACAUGACAGCGGCUGCAGCACGUGGCUGAGAGUUUUUGUUGACAGCGACUGCAGUACGUGGUAGCAGCGGCGAAGACUCGGCGACGAGCAGCGGCGGGGACGAGCAGCGGCGGCUGAAGGUCACGCAUUCGGUUUCGGCUGAAGAUCAUAAGUGGUGUUUAGUUUAGACUUUAGGGAUUAUUGGAUUGUUAUUCAGUUCGUUUUUUUUUAAACCGAACUGACUGGUUUUACUAUUUUCAUUAUAUUACUUAUUCGGUUUUUUAUUAAUCAGCUUUUUUUGCCCACUCCUACCUGUAUAUCGUUCUGAAGAGUGUUUAACUUGCUCAUCAAAACGCACAUAUCUCUAUCGUUUGGCUUAAGUGAUUCCAGCUUCAAAACACAAGAUCCUCUGUCGUUUUGAGUUUCUGGAUUUGCUUUCAUCAAAACAAAGGAUUUUUUUUAUCUUUCAAUCAACAGUGCCAAUUUCCUAUUGGGAAUGCAGAAGUGACAUUGAUCUGGUCAUAAAUAAUAACCUGACUUGUCCUACAAAUUCAUUUGUACUAAGAGAAAUCUCUGUUAAGUUUGUUUUGAUGAAUGUUUGUUUACUUGAAAAAAAAAGGCAGCACAGAAGAAUAGAAAUUUCAUAAAAUUGUACUUGGAUAAGGAUGGAGAGAGAGAAAUAUUUAUUUCGAGAUGGCAAAGCGUUCAAGAUAGAUAAAUCGUGAGAUAAUGAAGAAUUACAUUAAAUUAAAGAAUGAAGAUAACAUAAAGAACGGUUAACAUCAUUUAAUUAUUAGCUGGGUAUAAAUCAGCAGGCAAGCGGGGCUUUGCACGAGCAUGCAGUGGCUUAGCCAUUAGGAGGUCGCAUUUUGACUCGGAAAGGUCAACCAUCUCCUCAUCCGAUGGCGCGCUCCAAUUAAAACCUUGAAGAAGCCUUGCCAAAAGCAUUACAGACAUCUCGGACCCAAGUGCCAUGCCCAUGCAACCGCGUCUUCCUCUGCUGAAUGAAAGAAAUCUUAAUUCUGGUUCGGUCAACUCUACUUGAUGAUGAUGAUCAUCCGGUGAACCAAUAUGACGUUCCGGUAUGAAUUUCAAUGGAUCUUUCCAGACGUUAGGGUUUCGGCCAAGCCCUAUCCGGCUCAGCAGAACGUGACUGCCUUUGGGAAUGAAGUAACCGGCGACAGUGGCAUCGCGAGUUGAAACAUGAGGCAGGUUAAACGGUGCCACGGGAUGAAGGCGAAGCACUUCCCUUAAACAAGCCUUGAUAUAAUUGAGCUGCGGGACGUCAGAUUCCUGAACAAGUCUUUCUUUUCCAACAACUCUAUCGAUCUCCUCUGUUGCUUUUUGGAGAAUUUCAGGCUGGUUGAUCAUCUCCGCUAUUGCCCAUUCUGCUGCAUUCGAUGGAUUAUCCACUGUUGCAAGUGUCAGAUCCUGCAAGUACGUACAUAUGUUAAUUUAUCGAUCAGUUAAUUUGUCAUUAAAAUUCGAGACCGCGACCUGAUUAUAUAUAACAUGAGCAAUUAAUAAUAUAAAAAUUAAUGUAUUAAAUAAACAAGAUAUCCAACGUACCAUGCAUUGAGAUUUGAUCUCAUCUAUGGAUAACAAUGGAUCCCCAUUUUCAUCCUUUGCUGAAAUGAGAACAUCUAGCAAGUCCAGGUCGUUGUGAGCUUCCUUCUUGUUGUCAUGAUGUCUCCGUUGUUGUACUCUCUCGUCUAUAAUGGAAUCGUGAUACUUGUUGGCAGUUUUCAUGGCCGCACUUACAAUUUUUUCAUGGCCUUCUAGAUCGAAGACUCUCAUCCAGGGAACGUAAUCUGAAAGAGUGAAGGAAUAAAG